AGUGUACCAUAGCCUAAAUAUGAAUCAACAGUGUAACACAGUUGCAAAAAAGGCAAAUGUCAUUCUGGUAUGUAUCAGCAGGAGCGUUGUAAGCGAGACACGAGAAUUAAUUCUUCCACUCUACUCCACAUCUGAUAAGGCAUCAGCUGGAGUACUGUGUCCAGUUCUGGGCA
This is a long non-coding RNA of Gopherus evgoodei (Goodes thornscrub tortoise), 173 nucleotides long. RefSeq lists it as uncharacterized. Lineage: Eukaryota; Metazoa; Chordata; Testudines; Testudinidae. The record is from RefSeq and is a predicted model, not a curated record. The transcript has 3 exons.